AGCAAGGUCAGCUAAAUAAGCUCUCGGGCCCAUACCCCGAACACGUUGGUUAGAAUCCUUCCCCUGCUA
This 69-nucleotide transfer RNA is filed under the name Sardinella zunasi (Japanese sardinella). Its description in RNAcentral is "tRNA-Met". It matches the Rfam family "tRNA". From Rfam's summary of the family: Transfer RNA (tRNA) molecules are approximately 80 nucleotides in length. The record is from RNAcentral. RNAcentral also lists the same sequence under 1 other name. Lineage: Eukaryota; Metazoa; Chordata; Actinopteri; Clupeiformes; Clupeidae.